UUUCGUUCUUGAAACCCGAAUUAAACAGAACCAGCGAACAUCGGAGGAGAUUGACAACCACCACCCUCCUUCAACCUCCGACAAAUUCACCACCACCACUACCACAAAAUCACCAUUAACAGUUUAACGCUGUCUUCAAUUCACUUCUCAAUCGAUUGAACCACCACCAACACCAUCAGUCACCACUACCAUCACCAGUAAACCACAAAUCAACAGACGAUGGGAAGAGCUAAUUUUUCAUCUGGCGUUGUAAUCCAGAAGAAGAAGUCAGGACACAUCAAGAACCUCCCAUACGAGAUCUUGUUAGACAUUCUUUCUCGGUUACCAGUUGAGUCUGUUUUGGAGUGCAAAUUAGUAUGCAAAGGGUUGCUAAAGCUCCUCCAUGGUAGAACAAGUUUCUUCUAAAAUAUGCAUGUUACCCGCCAGCUUAACCAACUUUAUGGCAGUGCUGCUCAUGGUGAUAAGUUGGACACGGGCUUCCUUUUUUGUUGUACAAUAGGUGACAACCCGCACGGGCUACUUUUCUAUGGAGGAUUGUACAAUGAUAAGAUCAAUACUGAUCACUUGUACGAGUAUAAGAAGACACUAAAAAAGGUCAGAAUCCUCCAAUGCACUUUAAAUCGCCGCAACAAUGUUUGGUUAAUUCAUGCAAUGGGUUGAUCUGUCUUGGUAUAAAACACCGCUGAUGCGUUGAUCCCACCUACAUAUACAAUCCGGCCACAGGAGAGUAUGUUAAUCUUCCAAAAUUGAUUGUACCUCCAGGAAGUAGUUUUCCUCGCAUUGCCCGAGGGUUUGGAUACAUUCCUUCUACUAAUGAACACAAGGUAGGUAGAAUUUUUUACCCUGAUCGUCAAACAACUGGACAGGUCCAAGUAUACACACUCGGUAUACACACUGUGGCAUUUUGUUUGCAGAAUUGACCACCAUUUGGGGAAGGAACUAGUGGAAGUCCUUUAUGUUCUUCUUUUCUCCAAUCUUAUCUUUGAACCUUUUGGUCAAGACAAUCCAUAAGAGAUGUUGAAUUUAUUUUCUCAGAAGACUUUGGUACUGAAGGACAAGGAGGGUAAGCCAAGCUUUUGAACUGGCCUGAACUGGCUAUGUUCUCCGAAUAGUAGUCUGUGAUCAUUUUCCAUGUUUCUGUCUGUUCAUGUACUUCGACAGUUAUGGGAUUAUAGGAGACAUUAGGCAGAACCAUCUGCUUCAAAUACUAACCCUAUUUGCCAUGGAGACUCCUCUCAGUUUGGAUGCUGAAGACAUCAGAAAUGAAAAGGUGCUAAAUCACAAUAACCUUUGCUUUUACAAUAUGGAAUGGUCGUAUUCUCUCCCUGCUAACUUUCCAGGUAUUUAUUAAGUGAAAGGUCUAUGCUCAAUGAAUCCUCUGCAACUUACAACAUGGUGGUUGGGCUGUAUAAGAGUCACACUAAGGGGAGGAUUAGCUAUUCAGGCUACCCAGCAGCCUACAAUGUUUGAAAUGUGUUUACGAGCACAGAGGCUAAUAAAAUCAUGGCUGAAAUUGUGUUGGCUACCUUAAUAAAUGAUAGGACGUCUGCUCGGAGGCUUACUGCUUUUGGUAACAAUACUGCAGUUAUUAGUUGUGUUUACUUGUUAUUAGGAAUGGUGUGCAAGAGAAUGAGCUCUACAGGUACAUGUAGCGCAACCAAAGUCUACAUUUGUUAUUUAGUUGAAACACUGAAUGCAAUGAAAGAGGGACGAACAUCACACUAUGCACCAAAGGAGGGGCACUUUUUGUUUUCUUUUAAAUAAAUAGUGAAACAGGGAAUGUCACCAAAAACUGAUCUCAUCUGUUGUCAGUGUCUAAAGUCAGUAGUGACUAGCGAGCAAUUUGAGCUUUGCAGGUGCAUGAUGGCUCUCCACAGUGCAAGUUGUGGCAAGUAACAAAUGACAGAAGGGAGUCAAGGGACAUGGCAGAAGACAUAAACAUGAUCAUCUUAAGAGUAUGAGAUGUUGAUAUAUAUGACGUCCAGUUCGUCACCUGUUGCUAGUCAGUCAAAGUGCUGAGUGACAAACUGUGUGGCAAAUAUUGGUGAGCAUAACCAAAACGGUUUUGCUUCAAACAAAGUUUGACCGAGAU
This is a long non-coding RNA of Papaver somniferum (opium poppy), 2092 nucleotides long. RefSeq lists it as uncharacterized. The transcript is spliced from 3 exons. NCBI's taxonomy places the organism in Eukaryota, Viridiplantae, Streptophyta, Magnoliopsida, Ranunculales, Papaveraceae. The record is from RefSeq and is a predicted model, not a curated record.